GGAGGGUGCACUGAUGUCUGAGUGAUGUUUAACCAUGCCGGUCCAGGUACAGUGCCUGUCUCCGGAAUGAUGCAGGGAUCCCAAAGUGGAGAGAAUUAGACCUAUCGCAUUUGUGAUUAGAGUGGGCAAGAAAAGCAACAAAUGAUCAGGAGAAUUGGGGGCUUACCCAGUGAGCGAAGCUUUGGCAAAAAUGUAAAGCCGUGCAGCACAAUGCAAGAGGAGGCCAAGGACUCCCUGCAAAACCUCAACUUCAAGCCUAAAACAGCCUGAAGGUUGAAAAACUGGACUGCUGGCUCCAGAUGAAGUCCACCCUUUCCCAACUGAUUCUUUCUGAAUAAUGCCCACCUGCACACUCAGAGGAUGGGGUGGGGCCAUGCAAGCUCCCUGCCGGGAACCCAGCCUCUUGAGCUCCUAUGUGGUGGGGCAGGAGCCAGUUCACAGGCUUCCCUCUCACUCUGCUGAGAGUUUUUCUCUUUUCCUUUUUUUUGCCCAAUAAAUUCCAUUUUUCUCACCCUUCUGUGUGUCCAUGAGCCUAAUCUUUUCUGAUUGUGUGACAAGAACCUGUAUUUUCC
Molecule: long non-coding RNA, 572 nt
Filed under: Homo sapiens (human)
Lineage: Eukaryota; Metazoa; Chordata; Mammalia; Primates; Hominidae
Description: non-protein coding lnc-IL5RA-16:1
Source: RNAcentral